GGUGCAUGGCCGUCGUCAGUUCGUACUGUGAAGCAUCCUGUUAAGUCAGGCAACGAGCGAGACCCACGCCAACAGUUGCCAGCAUGUCCUCCGGGAUGAUGGGGACACUGUUGGGACCGCCUCUGCUAAAGAGGAGGAAGGAAUGGGCAACGGUAGGUCAGCAUGCCCCGAAUUAUCCGGGCUACACGCGGGCUACAAUGGUCAGGACAAUGGGUAUCGACACCGAGAGGUGGAGGCAAUCUCCUAAACCUGUCCUUAGUUCGGAUUGUGGGCUGCAACUCGCCCACAUGAAGCUGGAAUCCGUAGUAAUCGCGUUUCAAAAUAGCGCGGUGAAUAUGUCCCUGCUCCUU
RNAcentral lists this ribosomal RNA (350 nucleotides) under uncultured Methanolinea sp. Its description in RNAcentral is "bacterial SSU rRNA". It matches the Rfam family "Archaeal small subunit ribosomal RNA", at positions 989 to 1338 of the family's 1478-position model. The record is from RNAcentral. Lineage: Archaea; Methanobacteriati; Methanobacteriota; Methanomicrobia; Methanomicrobiales; Methanoregulaceae.